AAUUUAAAGUCUAGUCAGCCAAUGCUAAUUAUAUUAAAGGGCUGCAGUAUAUUGACUGUACAAAGGUAGCAUAAUCAAUAGUCUUUUAAUUGAAGACUUGUAUGAAGGAUUUAAUGAGAUAUAAACUGUCUCUAAUUUAUUAAUAGAAAUUAAUUUUUUAGUUAAAAAGCUAAAAUUUACUUAAAAGACGAGAAGACCCUAUAGAGUUUUAUAUUUAUAUUAUUUAAGAUUAUAUUUAUAAUUAAAAAUUAAAAGUAAUAUAAAUAUUUUGUUGGGGUGAUAAAAAAAUUAAAAUAACUUUUUUUAAAAUUUAACAAAAAUAAUUGGGAAAUUGAUCCAUAAUUUAUGAUUAAAAGAAAUAAUUACCUUAGGGAUAACAGCGUAAUAUUUUUUUUUAGUACAAAUAAAAAAAAAAGUUUGCGACCUCGAUGUUGGAUUAAGAUAAAAUUUAAAUGCAAAAGUUUAAAAUUUUGAUCUGUUCGAUCAUUAAAAUCUUACAUG
This 501-nucleotide ribosomal RNA is filed under the name Euthalia duda. RNAcentral's name for it is "partial 16S ribosomal RNA". The stretch from base 373 to 501 matches the Rfam family "Bacterial large subunit ribosomal RNA", at positions 2473 to 2602 of the family's 2925-position model. The record is from RNAcentral. Lineage: Eukaryota; Metazoa; Arthropoda; Insecta; Lepidoptera; Nymphalidae.